GAUGAACGCUGGCGGCGUGCCUAAUACAUGCAAGUCGAGCGAACGGACGAGAAGCUUGCUUCUCUGAUGUUAGCGGCGGACGGGUGAGUAACACGUGGAUAACCUACCUAUAAGACUGGUAUCACUUCGGGAAACCGUAUCUAAUACCGGAUAAUAUUUUGAACCGCAUGGUUCAAAAGUGAAAGACGGUCUUGCUGUCACUUAUAGAUGGAUCCGCGCUGCAUUAGCUAGUUGGUAAGGUAACGGCUUACCAAGGCAACGAUGCAUAGCCGACCUGAGAGGGUGAUAGGCCACACUGGAACUGAGACACGGUCCAGACUCCUAAGGGAGGCAGCAGUAGGGAAUCUUCCGCAAUGGGCGAAAGCCUGACGGAGCAACGCCGCGUGAGUGAUGAAGGUCUUCGGAUCGUAAAACUCUGUUAUUAGGGAAGAACAUAUGUGUAAGUAACUGUGCACAUCUUGACGGUACCUAAUCAGAAAGCCACGGCUAACUGCGUG
This 497-nucleotide ribosomal RNA is filed under the name uncultured bacterium. Its description in RNAcentral is "partial 16S ribosomal RNA". It matches the Rfam family "Bacterial small subunit ribosomal RNA", at positions 28 to 507 of the family's 1533-position model. The record is from RNAcentral.